Molecule: long non-coding RNA, 1044 nt
Filed under: Mus spicilegus (steppe mouse)
Lineage: Eukaryota; Metazoa; Chordata; Mammalia; Rodentia; Muridae
Description: lncRNA (ENSMSIG00000005333.1)
Source: RNAcentral
AAUUUUGUUGUUAUUCUAAUUGAUUUGUCUAAAAUCUAGAUAUUUAUAAAAUAUACUUGGUGAGAGCUAACGAUUAGGUUGGGUGGUUCUGUUUCUGAAUCUUCCUUUCUUACUAUUUAGACUUAAGAAGAAUGAAAGGCUCCAAGAAGCAUGUGCUGCUGUGACGUCUCGACUCGCAAUGGAGUUGCCCCAAGGGAACUGUGGUGUUCCUGUUGGUCAAGAAUUUUCCCAGGUUUCAAGCAUUCAUGUCAGGAGAGCAGGAGAGUACCAUAGCAAAGCUUCACUAGAAUCGAUAAAACUCAUAAAAGGAAGGUGGCACGGACCAUUUGGCCAAGAAGAAUCAAACCAGUUUCUAAGUCCCUGACCCAUUCCUUGUCUUUUGCCUGAAUAGGUUUACACCGGAGUCUGCAUAGGCAUUUGCUCUUAGGUUUGGUGGUGUUUAAUGAAACUUCCUCCAGCAUGAGAAUAGAACGACUCUCCAUGGGUUUUCCAAGGUUUUGAGGCAGCCUUCUAGCUGCUUAUGCUCUCAAAUGGAGGAGGUCUUUUCUCUAACCUAGGCAUUACCACAAACCGGCCUGACAGCCAUUCUGUGAGAUGUUCUUGGUAAAGUGCCAGGCUUGCUGGCUGAAUGCCUGUGCCUCAGUACUUGAGCAGCACUGGGUUAUCUCUGAAUUCUAUGUGGUCCUCUUCAAGGCUUGUUGGCUGUUUAUAUCAUCUCUUUAAAGAUAUUUUCCAGAAAGUUGUGGUUUUUCCGAAGUGCGUAUUACAUAUAAAGUGUGAUAGUCAUUUUAUCCCAGCCUGGCCCUUGGAGAAGCUACACUGGACCCUGAAGCAAACAGCGCAAACUGCCAGGUGCGAAUGUCCAUGGAGUUACCUCCCCUGCUUCUGGGUUCUACCUGGGUCCCCUCUGUGUCUCUUGACUCCUGGUGCUAAGGUGUACAAACUCUCUUUGUAUGGGGUCAGCACUGUAACCUUUGCAGGGUCAGCACAGGUCUUACACCUCAGAUUUGCAUCUAACCUGGCUCCCGUGGUCAACAGCUGCAG